GACGAACGCUGGCGGCGUGCUUAACACAUGCAAGUCGAACGGAAAGGCCUGCUUUCCCUUGUGGAUUGCGGGUACUCGAGUGGCGAACGGGUGAGUAACACGUGAGUGAUCUGCCCCCAACUUGGGUAUAAGCCUGGGAAACUGGGUCUAAUUCCCGAUAGGACUGCAGGGUGGUGCCUGUGGUGGAAAACGAUUUUCUAGUGGUUGGGGAUGAGCUCGCGGCCUAUCAGCUUGUUGGUGGGGUAAUGGCCUACCAAGGCGGCGACGGGUAGCCGGCCGGGGAGGGUGGACGGCCACAUUGGGACUGGGAUACGGCCCAGACUCCUACGGGAGGCAGCAGUGGGGAAUAUUGCACAAUGGGCGGAAGCCUGAUGCAGCGACGCCGCGUGGGGGAUGACGGCCUUCGGGUUGUAAACUCCUUUCGACCGCGAGGAAGCCACCUGGUUGGAAGGGUGGUGACGGUAGUGGUAGAAGAAGCACCGGCUAACUACGUG
RNAcentral lists this ribosomal RNA (494 nucleotides) under uncultured bacterium. RNAcentral's name for it is "partial 16S ribosomal RNA". It matches the Rfam family "Bacterial small subunit ribosomal RNA", at positions 28 to 507 of the family's 1533-position model. The record is from RNAcentral.